AAAUUGAAGAGUUUGAUCAUGGCUCAGAUUGAACGCUGGCGGCAGGCCUAACACAUGCAAGUCGAACGGUAACAGGAAGCAGCUUGCUGCUUUGCUGACGAGUGGCGGACGGGUGAGUAAUGUCUGGGAAACUGCCUGAUGGAGGGGGAUAACUACUGGAAACGGUGGCUAAUACCGCAUAACGUCGCAAGACCAAAGAGGGGGACCUUCGGGCCUCUUGCCAUCAGAUGUGCCCAGAUGGGAUUAGCUAGUUGGUGAGGUAACGGCUCACCAAGGCGACGAUCCCUAGCUGGUCUGAGAGGAUGACCAGCCACACUGGAACUGAGACACGGUCCAGACUCCUACGGGAGGCAGCAGUGGGGAAUAUUGCACAAUGGGCGCAAGCCUGAUGCAGCCAUGCCGCGUGUAUGAAGAAGGCCUUAGGGUUGUAAAGUACUUUCAGCGGGGAGGAAGGUGUUGCGGUUAAUAACCGCAGCAAUUGACGUUACCCGCAGAA
Molecule: ribosomal RNA, 496 nt
Filed under: Salmonella enterica
Lineage: Bacteria; Pseudomonadati; Pseudomonadota; Gammaproteobacteria; Enterobacterales; Enterobacteriaceae
Description: bacterial SSU rRNA
Rfam family: Bacterial small subunit ribosomal RNA
Source: RNAcentral